AUAGAAAAACCUAUUGAACGUUAUCGGGCUACGUUAGAUUGUGUUUAUCGUGAAUAACCAGGCGCUCGAUAUUGAAGACUGAUCAUAUUCUAGGCACGGGGGCGUCAAGUUAGUAAAACUUAGUUGUUGGCGUACAUUCUUCUACACUUACAUACAGCAUACUUGUAGGGAUUGAAGAAAAGAAAAACUCAAGAAACAACCUAGAGGAGAUUGCAAAUUCUUAUUUCGGCUUGUGAUUGUUCUGCUUGGACUUGGAAUUCGAAGGAAAGGAAAACUUUGAAGUGCAGUAUUCUUCUUGAAAGGAAAGACAGAAAUCAAAAUUUAUUUUAAAGCUAUGGAAGUUCGGUGUUCAGUGCUGAUAGCUGUCACAUCAAUUUUGUAUCUAAUUCUAACUGUUUCCACGGUCUCAGGUAAAUGUUCUGGUAGAUGGGCAAUACAUGCUUGUUUUGGAGGUAAUGGUAAAAGAUCAGAUCCAAGUGUAGCAGAUAACUUAGACAGCAGAAGACAAAAUUCCCUGAGACAGAUACUUUUACCCCAGUCUUUUCUACUUGAUAAAAAUGAAUUAAAUCAGGACACAGAAUUAAAUUUUGAUGAACCAUUAAGAAACGAAGAACAGAGGCAGGAUAUUAACAGACUGGAACUUUUACUGAAAACAUUGAUGAUGGAACAAAAGAUACGAAAAGAAGGAUCAAUGUUGGCCUGAAAUACAUCAGGCCAGUGAGGGCCAAACCUACAAGUUGCAAUGGUUGAUUCCAAUAUUUUAAAAGUCCAAAUAUGAGGUCUAGCCUAUAUCCAAAAUUAUUACAUCUAACAUAGAAAUUAUUGUUACCAUCAAUUCAUAAUUGUAUAAUUAAAGAGUUGAGCUUUCAUAUUUAAAGUACAUUCUGUGUUGCUUUUACUCAACUCAAAGGUUCGCGGAUCAUUCGAAAAAUGUUGCCAUCAAUAAAUAAUGACGUUCAAAUAAAUAUGAUCCUGUUGCUUACUACCUACUCCGAAUCUUUCAUACUUCUACCAUGCGCUCGGAGAGGGUUUUCGUGUUACACCGAGAAGACCGUUGACCCAAUAACUUCUGAAUUUGAGACCGCUAUUAGACGUGUAAUCAAUUUUUCCACAUACGAAACACUCAUUUUGUUUUAAACGGGUUUAUGUGUCUGUCGAAAAAUACUAGAGUUAGUUACUAUGUUUGCUAAUAGUGUUAUUAGUAUAUGAUUUCGUGGAAUUAUUGUGGGUGAGAUUAAUUUAUCAUGUAUGUAAUUUAAUUUCAAUCAAGAUUGUAUUAACUUGCUAGAAGGUGGGCAAACAGACACACUUAAGGCACUUAAAUCAAAUUAGACUAGUAGUGAACAGCUAUUGAACCCCUUGACCUGACAAACGUUGUCAAUUAGUGAAACUAUGAUUAACACCAUGAAGGCACCACACAAUUUACAGAAAUGGUCGAUUGAAAUUGGGAUUUAAGUUCUUACACGAUAAAAGCUUUAUCGUCUGUUUUUUGUCUUUUAAUCUCAUUUUUGUAAAAUAUAUGUGUGUACAUUGUUCUUAAAGAAUCCAUAAGCAUGUUCAAUGGUACUGGUCUAUUCAGGUCAGGGACGUCUUAUACAAGACACUGCACACAGAAAGUGGGGCCACGAAUCAAAUCCUGGAAACGCUUUUACUCUUUUUAUUCUAAUAAAUUUACGUUUGUAAAGAUUUUUUUUUUGGAGCUAACUUCCAACAAUAACUGAAAAUCAGAAAGAAAAAGUGUAAAGGAAAACUGCCCUCUGUCCGCUAUUUAACCAUCAUGCUAGGGGCUGCGUGAUCCAGCGCAAAUGUUAGUCUGGUAUCAUCAAGUCUCAUUUCAUCUGAAUAGCAAGGGAUUUUGUGGUUGCUGUACGCGACCUAGUAUCAACGGAUAAUUUGCAGUCCUGGUCAUUUUUCAUAAGCGUCUAUUUGAACGCAACCAUUAUCAUUGAAUUAUAAUUAAAUUUAGUUGGAUCUUGUAGUUGACCUAUAAAUUGAACUGAAACAAAGAUGGUGGCGUAUUUCAAACUAUUAUAUAUUACCAUUUACAAGUAUCUGUUGGUUCUUAAACACAUGUUCACUGUUAACCCUUCCCUCACAGAAAAUCUGCGUAAUUGCACAAUAUGUAUUUUGGUUAAUUUGUAAGUAAAUGAUAUUAAAAGAUUGCAGACCAUUUCCAAAUUAUUUUUAUAUUCUGAUUAUUGUAAUAAAUCUUAAUACGGACAAUAAAAUGAAUCAACUAUA
Molecule: long non-coding RNA, 2241 nt
Organism: Patella vulgata (common limpet)
Lineage: Eukaryota; Metazoa; Mollusca; Gastropoda; Patellidae
Exons: 4
Source: RefSeq, a predicted model, not a curated record